UGGGAGAAUCCUUAAAGCUCAGGAGGGAUAGCGCCAUAGAUGACAAAAGGAAAAUGGAGCUGGUUGGUUCAUAUAUAUACAUACAGAAAGGUUCCAUUCGUCUAAUGCGCUAUCUAUCCUGAGUUUCACGGUUUCUUCCU
Molecule: microRNA precursor, 140 nt
Filed under: Ananas comosus (pineapple)
Lineage: Eukaryota; Viridiplantae; Streptophyta; Magnoliopsida; Poales; Bromeliaceae
Description: MIR390 microRNA precursor family
Rfam family: MIR390 microRNA precursor family
Source: Rfam by way of RNAcentral